GCUGCGGUGCGGCGCACGGCGGCCGGCAACCAGCUCCUGGUCGGCUACGUGGUGGUCCGGGACGCGGCCGGGUUCGACCCGGCAGCGGCG
This 90-nucleotide transfer RNA is filed under the name Mangrovihabitans endophyticus. Its description in RNAcentral is "tRNA-Arg". Lineage: Bacteria; Bacillati; Actinomycetota; Actinomycetes; Micromonosporales; Micromonosporaceae. The record is from RNAcentral.